RNAcentral lists this ribosomal RNA (966 nucleotides) under Phellinus tuberculosus. RNAcentral's name for it is "LSU rRNA". It matches the Rfam family "Eukaryotic large subunit ribosomal RNA", at positions 1 to 966 of the family's 3401-position model. The record is from RNAcentral. Lineage: Eukaryota; Fungi; Basidiomycota; Agaricomycetes; Hymenochaetales; Hymenochaetaceae.
GCAUAUCAUAUCUGUCUGUACUACGAAAACUAACAAAGGAUACCCCUAGUAACUGCGAGUGAAGAGGGAAAAGCUCAAAUUUAAAAUCUGGCGGGCUCUGUCCGUCCGAGUUGUAAUCUGGAGAAGCGUUUUCCGCGUCGGACCGUGCACAAGUCUCCUGGAACGGAGCGUCAUAGAGGGUGAGAAUCCCGUCCAUGGCACGGACCGCCGAUGCUCUGUGAUACGUUUUCAAAGAGUCGAGUUGUUUGGGAAUGCAGCUCAAAACGGGUGGUAAAUUCCAUCUAAAGCUAAAUAUUGGCGAGAGACCGAUAGCGAACAAGUACCGUGAGGGAAAGAUGAAAAGCACUUUGGAAAGAGAGUUAAACAGUACGUGAAAUUGUUGAAAGGGAAACGCUUGAAGUCAGUCGCGUCCGACGGAACUCAGCCUUGCUUCGGCCUGGUGUACUUUCCGUCGGACGGGUCCAACAUCAGUUUUGACCGGUGGAAAAAGGUGGGGGGAAUGUAGCGCCGCUUCGGUGGCGUGUUAUAGCCCCUCGCUGUAUGCACCGGUCGGGACUGAGGACCGCAGCACGCCUUUUUGGCCGGGGGCUCGCGCCCUACGUACCGUGCUUAGGAUGUUGGCAUAAUGGCUUUAAGCGACCCGUCUUGAAACACGGACCAAGGAGUCCAACAUGCUUGCGAGUGUUCGGGUGGAAAACCCUUGCGCGUAAUGAAAGUAACAGUUAGGAACCUCCGCAAGGGGGUGCACUGACGCCCGGCCCUGAAGUUCUCGGACGGUGCUGCGGUAGAGCAAGUAUGCUGGGACCCGAAAGAUGGUGAACUAUGCCUGAAUAGGGGCGAAGCCAGAGGAAACUUCUGGGUGGAGGCCUCGUAGCGAUUUCUGACGUGCAAGUCGAUUCGUCAAAUUUGGUAUAGGGGGCGAAAGACUAAUUCGGAACCAUCUAGUAGCUGGCUUCCUUGGCGAAG